Molecule: non-coding RNA, 24 nt
Filed under: Arabidopsis thaliana (thale cress)
Lineage: Eukaryota; Viridiplantae; Streptophyta; Magnoliopsida; Brassicales; Brassicaceae
Source: RNAcentral
UGGUCCUCCAAUGAUAUAGUGCCA